RNAcentral lists this ribosomal RNA (253 nucleotides) under uncultured bacterium. RNAcentral's name for it is "partial 16S ribosomal RNA". It matches the Rfam family "Bacterial small subunit ribosomal RNA", at positions 524 to 776 of the family's 1533-position model. The record is from RNAcentral.
UACGGGGGGAGCAAGCGUUGUUCGGAUUUACUGGGCGUAAAGGGCGCGUAGGCGGCGCCGCAAGUCACUUGUGAAAUCUCCGGGCUCAACUCGGAACGGUCAAGUGAUACUGCGGUGCUAGAGUGCGGAAGGGGCAACUGGAAUUCUUGGUGUAGCGGUGAAAUGCGUAGAUAUCAAGAGGAACACCUGCGGCGAAGGCGGGUUGCUGGGCCGACACUGACGCUGAGGCGCGAAAGCUAGGGUAGCAAACGGG